GACGAACGCUGGCGGCGUGCUUAACACAUGCAAGUCGAACGGAAAGGCCCUGCUUUUGUGGGGUGCUCGAGUGGCGAACGGGUGAGUAACACGUGAGUAACCUGCCCUUGACUUUGGGAUAACUUCAGGAAACUGGGGCUAAUACCGGAUAGGAGCUCCUGCUGCAUGGUGGGGGUUGGAAAGUUUCGGCGGUUGGGGAUGGACUCGCGGCUUAUCAGCUUGUUGGUGGGGUAGUGGCUUACCAAGGCUUUGACGGGUAGCCGGCCUGAGAGGGUGACCGGCCACAUUGGGACUGAGAUACGGCCCAGACUCCUACGGGAGGCAGCAGUGGGGAAUAUUGCACAAUGGGCGGAAGCCUGAUGCAGCAACGCCGCGUGCGGGAUGACGGCCUUCGGGUUGUAAACCGCUUUCGCCUGUGACGAAGCGUGAGUGACGGUAAUGGGUAAAGAAGCACCGGCUAACUACGUGCCAGCAGCCGCGGUGAUACGUAGGGUGCGAGCGUUGUCCGGAUUUAUUGGGCGUAAAGGGCUCGUAGGUGGUUGAUCGCGUCGGAAGUGUAAUCUUGGGGCUUAACCCUGAGCGUGCUUUCGAUACGGGUUGACUUGAGGAAGGUAGGGGAGAAUGGAAUUCCUGGUGGAGCGGUGGAAUGCGCAGAUAUCAGGAGGAACACCAGUGGCGAAGGCGGUUCUCUGGGCCUUUCCUGACGCUGAGGAGCGAAAGCGUGGGGAGCGAACAGGCUUAGAUACCCUGGUAGUCCACGCUGUAAACGGUGGGUACUAGGUGUGGGGUCCAUUCCACGGGUUCCGUGCCGUAGCUAACGCUUUAAGUACCCCGCCUGGGGAGUACGGCCGCAAGGCUAAAACUCAAAGGAAUUGACGGGGCCCCGCACAAGCGGCGGAGCAUGCGGAUUAAUUCGGUGCAACGCGUAGAACCUUGCCUGGGUUUGACAUGGAUCGGGAGCGCUCAGAGAUGGGUGUGCCUCUUUUGGGGUCGGUUCACAGGUGGUGCAUGGCUGUCGUCAGCUCGUGUCGUGAGAUGUUGGGUUAAGUCCCGCAACGAGCGCAACCCUUGUUCACUGUUGCCAGCACGUUAUGGUGGGGACUCAGUGGAGACCGCCGGGGUCAACUCGGAGGAAGGUGGGGAUGACGUCAAGUCAUCAUGCCCCUUAUGUCCAGGGCUUCACGCAUGCUACAAUGGCUGGUACAGAGAGUGGCGAGCCUGUGAGGGUGAGCGAAUCUCGGAAAGCCGGUCUCAGUUCGGAUUGGGGUCUGCAACUCGACCUCAUGAAGUCGGAGUCGCUAGUAAUCGCAGAUCAGCAACGCUGCGGUGAAUACGUUCCCGGG
Molecule: ribosomal RNA, 1343 nt
Filed under: uncultured bacterium
Lineage: Bacteria
Description: 16S ribosomal RNA
Rfam family: Bacterial small subunit ribosomal RNA
Source: RNAcentral